This is a non-coding RNA of Neocallimastix californiae, 128 nucleotides long. The record is from Rfam. Lineage: Eukaryota; Fungi; Neocallimastigomycota; Neocallimastigomycetes; Neocallimastigales; Neocallimastigaceae.
GUCCAUUUCCUAUGGAAAUGUGACAUCUAUUAAAAUUGGAAACGAUACAGAGAAGAUUAGCAUGGCUCCCUGUGCAAGGAUGACACGCAUAUCUUGAGUGGAUUCCUCUUCGGAGGAAAGAUUUUUUU